UGAUUAGACUUUCAUGAAGAUUUUUAAACUUGCAAUUUACUAUUUUUAUUAAAAUACCUAACC
This 63-nucleotide transfer RNA is filed under the name Liposcelis decolor. Its description in RNAcentral is "tRNA-Cys". Lineage: Eukaryota; Metazoa; Arthropoda; Insecta; Psocodea; Liposcelididae. The record is from RNAcentral.